This 469-nucleotide ribosomal RNA is filed under the name uncultured bacterium. RNAcentral describes it as "partial 16S ribosomal RNA". It matches the Rfam family "Bacterial small subunit ribosomal RNA", at positions 28 to 507 of the family's 1533-position model. The record is from RNAcentral.
GACGAACGCUGGCGGCAUGCUUAACACAUGCAAGUCGAACGGAAAGGCCCUGCUUUUGUGGGGUGCUCGAGUGGCGAACGGGUGAGUAACACGUGAGUUACCUGCCCUUGACUUUGGGAUAACUUCAGUAAACUGGGGCUAAUUCCGGAUAGGAGCUCCUGCUGCAUGGUGGGGGUUGGAAAGUUUCGGCGGUUGGGGAUGGACUCGCGGCUUAUCAGCUUGUUGGUGGGGUAGUGGCUUACCAAGGCUUUGACGGGUAGCCGGCCUGAGAGGGUGACCGGCCACAUUGGGACUGAGAUACGGCCCAGACUCCUACGGGAGGCAGCAGUGGGGAAUAUUGCACAAUAGGCGGAAGCCUGAUGCAGCAACGCCGCGUGCGGGAUGACGGCCAUUCGGGUUGUAAACCGCUUUCGCCUGUGACGAAGCGUGAGUGACGGUAAUGGGUAAAGAAGCACCGGCUAACUACGUG